RNAcentral lists this ribosomal RNA (1343 nucleotides) under uncultured bacterium. Its description in RNAcentral is "16S ribosomal RNA". It matches the Rfam family "Bacterial small subunit ribosomal RNA", at positions 28 to 1378 of the family's 1533-position model. The record is from RNAcentral.
GACGAACGCUGGCGGCGUGCUUAACACGUGCAAGUCGAACGGAAAGGCCCUGCUUUUGUGGGGUGCUCGAGUGGCGAACGGGUGAGUAACACGUGAGUAACCUGCCCUUGACUUUGGGAUAACUUCAGGAAACUGGGGCUAAUACCGGAUAGGAGCUCCUGCUGCAUGGUGGGGGUUGGAAAGUUUCGGCGGUUGGGGAUGGACUCGCGGCUUAUCAGCUUGUUGGUGGGGUAGUGGCUUACCAAGGCUUUGACGGGUAGCCGGCCUGAGAGGGUGACCGGCCACAUUGGGACUGAGAUACGGCCCAGACUCCUACGGGAGGCAGCAGUGGGGAAUAUUGCACAAUGGGCGGAAGCCUGAUGCAGCAACGCCGCGUGCGGGAUGACGGCCUUCGGGUUGUAAACCGCUUUCGCCUGUGACGAAGCGUGAGUGACGGUAAUGGGUAAAGAAGCACCGGCUAACUACGUGCCAGCAGCCGCGGUGAUACGUAGGGUGCGAGCGUUGUCCGGAUUUAUUGGGCGUAAAGGGCUCGUAGGUGGUUGAUCGCGUCGGAAGUGUAAUCUUGGGGCUUAACCCUGAGCGUGCUUUCGAUACGGGUUGACUUGAGGAAGGUAGGGGAGAAUGGAAUUCCUGGUGGAGCGGUGGAAUGCGCAGAUAUCAGGAGGAACACCAGUGGCGAAGGCGGUUCUCUGGGCCUUUCCUGACGCUGAGGAGCGAAAGCGUGGGGAGCGAACAGGCUUAGAUACCCUGGUAGUCCACGCUGUAAACGGUGGGUACUAGGUGUGGGGUCCAUUCCACGGGUUCCGUGCCGUAGCUAACGCUUUAAGUACCCCGCCUGGGGAGUACGGCCGCAAGGCUAAAACUCAAAGGAAUUGACGGGGCCCCGCACAAGCGGCGGAGCAUGCGGAUUAAUUCGAUGCAACGCGUAGAACCUUACCUGGGUUUGACAUGGAUCGGGAGUGCUCAGAGAUGGGUGUGCCUCUUUUGGGGUCGGUUCACAGGUGGUGCAUGGCUGUCGUCAGCUCGUGUCGUGAGAUGUUGGGUUAAGUCCCGCAACGAGCGCAACCCUUGUUCACUGUUGCCAGCACGUUAUGGUGGGGACUCAGUGGAGACCGCCGGGGUCAACUCGGAGGAAGGUGGGGAUGACGUCAAGUCAUCAUGCCCCUUAUGUCCAGGGCUUCACGCAUGCUACAAUGGCUGGUACAGAGAGUGGCGAGCCUGUGAGGGUGAGCGAAUCUCGGAAAGCCGGUCUCAGUUCGGAUUGGGGUCUGCAACUCGACCUCAUGAAGUCGGAGUCGCUAGUAAUCGCAGAUCAGCAACGCUGCGGUGAAUACGUUCCCGGG